CUUCGGAGGACAUUGGGAGACUAGAAUGUGGAGAGGGUAGAGGAAUUCUGGUUUACCGUGAACUGUGUAGUGUCAGGAGGUACAUCCAAGGCGAAGGGAGCUACCUGGCCCAACAGUGACAUGAGGCAUGAAACGUGGGGAGCAAACAGGAUAAGAUACCCUGGUAGUCCACGCCCUAAACGAUGCGAACUGGAUGUUGGGUGCAAUUUGGCAUUCAGCAUCGAAGCUAACGCGUUAACUUGACCGCCUGGGGAGUACGGUCGCAAGACCGAAACUCAAAGGAAAUGGAGGGGGCCCGCACAAGCGGUGGAGUAUGUGGUUUAAUAUGAUGCAACGCGAAGAACCUAACCUUGCCUUGACAUGUCGAGAUCUUGAAAGAGAUGGAUUGGUGCCUUCGGGAACUAGAAAACCGGUGCUCCAUGGCUGUAGUCAGGUCGUCUCCUGAGAUGUUGGGUUAAGUCCCGCAACGAGCGCAACCCUUCUCCCUAGUUCCCAGCAUGUAAUGGUGGGAACUUUAAGGAGACCGCCGGUGGCAAACCGGAGGAAGGGGGGGAAGAAGUCAAGUUCUCAUGGGCCUUACGGCCAGGGCUACACACGUACUACAAUGGUAGGGACAGAGGGGUGCAAGCCGGGGACGGUAAGCCAAUCCCAGAAACCCUAUUUCAGUCCGGAUUGGAGUUUGCAACUUGACUCCAUGAAGUCGGAAUCGCUAGUAAUCGCAGAUCAGCAUUGUUGCGGUGAAUACGUUCCCGGGUCCUUGUACACACCGCCCGUCACACCAUGGGAGUUUGUUGCACCAGAAGCAGGU
This 808-nucleotide ribosomal RNA is filed under the name Acinetobacter sp. MV26. RNAcentral describes it as "bacterial SSU rRNA". It matches the Rfam family "Bacterial small subunit ribosomal RNA", at positions 621 to 1431 of the family's 1533-position model. The record is from RNAcentral. Lineage: Bacteria; Pseudomonadati; Pseudomonadota; Gammaproteobacteria; Moraxellales; Moraxellaceae.